This 467-nucleotide ribosomal RNA is filed under the name uncultured bacterium. Its description in RNAcentral is "partial 16S ribosomal RNA". It matches the Rfam family "Bacterial small subunit ribosomal RNA", at positions 28 to 506 of the family's 1533-position model. The record is from RNAcentral.
GACGAACGCUGGCGGCGUGCUUAACACAUGCAAGUCGAACGGAAAGGCCCUGCUUUUGUGGGGUGCUCGAGUGGCGAACGGGUGAGUAACACGUGAGUAACCUGCCCUUGACUUUGGGAUAACUUCAGGAAACUGGGGCUAAUACCGGAUAGGAGCUCCUGCUGCAUGGUGGGGGUUGGAAAGUUUCGGCGGUUGGGGAUGGACUCGCGGCUUAUCAGCUUGUUGGUGGGGUAGUGGCUUACCAAGGCUUUGACGGGUAGCCGGCCUGAGAGGGUGACCGGCCAAAUGGGGACUGGGAUACGGCCCAGACUCCUACGGGGGGCAGCAGUGGGGAAUAUUGCACAAUGGGGGGAGGCCUGAUGCAGCAACGCCGCGUGCGGGAUGCCGGCCUUGGGGUUGUAAACCGCUUUCGCCUGGGACGAAGCGUGAGUGACGGUAAUGGGUAAAGAAGCACCGGCUAACUACGU